GGCGACCGGCAGAAGGGUGCGUAACGCGUGAACAACAUGCCCGUAACAAGAGGAUAACCGAUGGAAACGUCGUCUAAUACUCUAUAUGAAUAUUUAUCGCAUGGUAAAUAUUUAAAAUUUUCGGAGGUUACGGAUUGGUUCGCGUCCCAUUAGGUAGACGGUGAGGUAACGGCUCACCGUGCCGACGAUGGGUAGGGGUUCUGAGAGGAAGGUCCCCCACAAUGGAACUGAGACACGGUCCAUACUCCUACGGGAGGCAGCAGUGAGGAAUAUUGGUCAAUGGGCGGAAGCCUGAACCAGCCAUGCCGCGUGCAGGAAGGAGGCCCUAUGGGUCGUAAACUGCUUUUGCCGCAGAGCAAUAAGAGAUACGAGAUAUCUUGAUGAGAGUAUGCGGUGAAUAAGCAUCGGCUAACUCCGUGCCAGCAGCCGCGGUAAUACGGAGGAUGCGAGCGUUAUCCGGAUUUAUUGGGUUUAAAGGGUGCGUAGGCGGCGUCACAAGUCAGGGGUGAAAAGCUAGUGCUUAACACUGGUCUUGCCUUUGAUACUGUGGUGCUAGAGUGCUCCUGCCGCAGGAGGAAUGAGUGGUGUAGCGGUGAAAUGCAUAGAUAUCACUCAGAACACCGAUUGCGAAGGCAUCUUGCGAAGGGGCGACUGACGCUGAGGCACGAAAGCGUGGGGAUCGAACAGGAUUAGAUACCCUGGUAGUCCACGCUGUAAACGAUGAUGACUAACCGCCGGCGAUAGAGUGAUCGGUGGCCAAGCGAAAGCGAUAAGUCAUCCACCUGGGGAGUACGACCGCAAGGUUGAAACUCAAAGGAAUUGACGGGGGCCCGCACAAGCGGAGGAACAUGUGGUUUAAUUCGAUGAUACGCGAGGAACCUUACCCGGGCUCGAACGGCUAGUGAACGGAGCAGAGAUGCCGAGUGUCCUUCGGGACGCUAGUCGAGGUGCUGCAUGGUUGUCGUCAGCUCGUGCCGUGAGGUGUCGGCUUAAGUGCCAUAACGAGCGCAACCCUUGUUGUUAGUUACCAUCAAGUAAAGUUGGGGACUCUAGCGAGACUGCCACCGCAAGGUGAGAGGAAGGGGGGGAUGACGUCAAAUCAGCACGGCCCUUGCGUCCGGGGCGACACACGUGUUACAAUGGCGGUUACAGAGGGGGGCUACCUAGUGAUAGGGUGCUGAUCUUAAAAAACCGUCUCAGUUCGGAUCGGAGUCUGCAACUCGACUCCGUGAAGCUGGAUUCGCUAGUAAUCGCGCAUCAGCCAUGGCGCGGUGAAUACGUUCCCGGGCCUUGUACACACCGCCCGUCAAGCCAUGGAAGCUUGGGGUGCC
Molecule: ribosomal RNA, 1331 nt
Filed under: uncultured bacterium
Lineage: Bacteria
Description: 16S ribosomal RNA
Rfam family: Bacterial small subunit ribosomal RNA
Source: RNAcentral